UACAGAGGUCUCAAGCGUUGUUCGGAUUCAUUGGGCGUAAAGGGUGCGUAGGCGGCGCGGUAAGUCGGGUGUGAAAUCUCGGGGCUUAACUCCGAAACUGCAUUCGAUACUGCGGUGCUUGAGGACUGGAGAGGAGACUGGAAUUCAUGGUGUAGCAGUGAAAUGCGUAGAGAUCAUGAGGAAGACCAGUGGCGAAGGCAGGUCUCUGGGCCACUACUGACGCUGAGAAGCGAAAGCGUGGGGAGCGAACAGG
This 253-nucleotide ribosomal RNA is filed under the name uncultured bacterium. Its description in RNAcentral is "partial 16S ribosomal RNA". It matches the Rfam family "Bacterial small subunit ribosomal RNA", at positions 524 to 776 of the family's 1533-position model. The record is from RNAcentral.